This 1326-nucleotide ribosomal RNA is filed under the name Dodona egeon. Its description in RNAcentral is "l6S ribosomal RNA". Lineage: Eukaryota; Metazoa; Arthropoda; Insecta; Lepidoptera; Riodinidae. The record is from RNAcentral.
AGGGGGAAAAUUAAUAAUAAAGAUAAAUAAUAAAAAUAAUUUUAAUAUAAAAUAUGAUAAUGGGGGUUAAAGUAUUUAUAUAGAAAAAAUUAUAAAUUUUAUAGUUAAUUAGUAUUGUAAAAUAAAUUUGAAAUAAUUGAAAAUAAAUUUGAUAAAAAGUAAAUUUUAAUUAUUGUAUCUUGUGUAUCAGAGUUUAUUAAAAAAAAAUUUUAAAUAAAAAAAUUUCGAAUUUAAAAGAGAUAAUUAAUUAAAAAAGUUAAUGUAGCAUAAUUAUUUUAAAUAAUUAAUUUGAAAUGAAAUGUUAAUCGUUUUUAAAUAUAUCUAAUUUUUUUAGAAAAAAAUUUAAUUUUAAAACUUUUUUUUAUUUAAAUUAAUUAAUAAAAUUUAAAUAAAUAAGGUUUAAAUAUUUUAAGGGAUAAGCUUUAAAUUAAAUUUUUAUAAUAAAAUUAAAAAUAAAAUUUAAAAUUUUUAAAAUUUAAAUUGUUUAAAAAUUAAUAUUUAUUAUAAAAUAUUUUAAAAUAAAUAAAAUUUAAUUGAAUUUAAUUUUUUAUAAAAAAAUUAUAUUAAAUAAUAAAAUAAAAGAAAUAAUGAUAAAAUUAGUAUAAAUCAUAAAAAAUAUGAAAAUUUUUAAUAAGAUAAUUAAAAGGAAUUCGGCAAAUAAAUAUAUUCACUUGUUUAUCAAAAACAUGUCUUUUUGAAAAUAAUUUAAAGUCUAAUCUGCCCACUGAUAUGAAUUAAAGGGCUGCAGUAUUUUGACUGUACAAAGGUAGCAUAAUCAAUAGUCUUUUAAUUGAAGACUUGUAUGAAAGAUUGAAUGAAAUAUAAGCUGUCUCUAAAUUAUAUUUAAAAUUUAAUUUUUUAGUUAAAAAGCUAAAAUAAUUUUAAAAGACGAGAAGACCCUAUAGAGUUUUAUAAUUAAAUUUAUUUUUUAUAAAUUAUAAAAUUUUUAUAAAAAAAUUUUUUAAUUAUUUUGUUGGGGUGAUAAAAAAAUUUAAUAAACUUUUUGUAAUUUUUAACAAAAAUAAUUGAUUAAAUGAUCCAUUAUUUAUGAUUAAAAGAUUAAAUUACCUUAGGGAUAACAGCGUAAUAUUUUUUUUUAGUUCAAAUAAAAAAAAAAGUUUGCGACCUCGAUGUUGGAUUAAGAUAAAAAUUAAAUGCAAAAGUUUAAAUUUUUGAUCUGUUCGAUCAUUAAAAUCUUACAUGAUCUGAGUUCAAACCGGUGUAAGCCAGGUUGGUUUCUAUCUUUAAAUAAUUAAAAUAUUUUAGUACGAAAGGAUCAAAUAUUUAAAAUAAUUUUAAUUUAAGAAUAUUAUUAAUUUAUUUGUA